GCCAAAUCACUUGUGGAUUUUGAGUUAUGCCAUUCUAUACUUGUAUUUAUACAAAAAUGAGACUACAUACUAUAUAUUGCAUUCUAACCCAGUUUUUCUCUUGACAAUUUAUUAGCCACAUAAGCAAGUCAUUGGUUGUGCUGCACCUAACACUGCACCUCUCCUGAACCAAGAAGGGGCGUUGGCCUCUGGCAGAGGCUUCAGGGGCCUUUGCUUCCCUCUGGUUUUUGGCACCCCUCGAGAAGCCGGGGCUUUUAUUUGUUUUGCAUCUGUCCCAUUGGCAGGACACUCUAGGACAAGGUGAAAUAAUCAGGAUGACAGAGUGCCUGUGCCUCUGCCCGUGACAAGGUGAAAUAAUCAGGACGACAGAGUGCCUGUGCCUGUGACAAGGUGAAAUAAUCAGGACGACAGGGUGCCUGUGCCUGUGACAAGGUGAAAUAAUCAGGACGACAGGGUGCCUGUGCCUCUGUCCGUGACAAGGUGAAAUAAUCAGGACGACAGGGUGCCUGUGCCUCUGCCCGUGACAAGGUGAAAUAAUCAGGACGACAGGGUGCCUGUGCCUCUGCCUGUGCCCGUGGCAGGGUGUUCUUCAGGCUUCCAUCACGUCUGCUGUUGGCUGGGUGUGGCAAAGAGGUGACUGUAUUGGGACAAUUUUCUUCUUUCUCUAGAUAACUAACAGUGUUUAUCAGGG
RNAcentral lists this long non-coding RNA (691 nucleotides) under Homo sapiens (human). RNAcentral describes it as "non-protein coding lnc-SYCE1-4:1". The record is from RNAcentral. Lineage: Eukaryota; Metazoa; Chordata; Mammalia; Primates; Hominidae.